GCACUCGUGGGGGUGGGGGAGGAGCGGGGGUCGGUCCGGCUGGUUUGUGGGUGGGAGGCGCUUGUUCUCCAAAAACCGGCGCGAGCUGCAAUCCUGAGGGAGCUGCGGUGGAGGAGGUGGAGAGAAGGCCGCACCCUUCUGGGCAGGGGGAGGGGAGUGCCGCAAUACCUUUAUGGGAGUUCUCUGCUGCCUCCCGUCUUGUAAGGACCGCCCUGGGCCUGGAAGAAGCCCUCCCUCCUUUCCUCCUCGCGUGAUCUCGUCAUCGCCUCCAUGUCGAGUCGCUUCUCGAUUAUGGGCGGGAUUCUUUUGCCUAGGCUUAAGGGGCUAACUUGGUCCCUGGGCGUUGCCCUGCAGGGGAGUGAGCAGCUGUAAGAUUUGAGGGGCGACUCCGAUUAGUUUAUCUUCCCACGGACUAGAGUUGGUGUCGAGGUUAUUGUAAUAAGGGUGGGGUAGGGAAAUGGAGCUUAGUCAUUCACCUGGGGCUGAUUUUAUGCAACGAGACUGCGGAUUAUCACUACUUAUCAUUUUUGGAGCAUUUUUCUAGAGACAGACAUAAAGCAUGAUCACCUGAGUUUUAUACCAUUUGAGACCCUUGCUGCACCACCAAAGUGUAGCAUCAGGUUAAAUCUUAAUAGAAAAAUUUUAGCUUUUGCUUGAGAAACCAGUGCUUCCCUCCCUCACCCUCUCUCCCCAGGCUCUCUACCCCUUUGCAUCCCUACCAGGCAUCUUAGCAACUCUCACUCAUACUUGAUCCCAUUUUCCAUUUGUUGUACUUGCUCCUCUAGUAUUCAGACAUAGCACUAGCUUUCUCCCUCUCUUGAUCUUGGGUAGCCUGGUGUCUCGCGAAACCAGACAGAUUGGUUCCACCACAAAUUAAGGCUUGAGCUGGGGCUUGACUCUUACCCAGCAGUGCUUUUAUUCCUCCCUAGUUCACGUUCUUAAAUGUUUAUCUUGAUUUUCAUUUUAUCCUUUUUCCUUAGCUGGGAUUCUGUCCCUGACCGUCUUCACAGUCCAGGUGAUCUUGACUACUGCUUUACAGAGAAUUGGAUCUGAGGUGUGGAAACAGGAAGAGAACUAGAACUGGAAGUAAAGCAUUGAAGAUGUGACUGAAUUGCUGCAAUCUCAUGAUCAAAUUUGAAUGGAUGAGGAGUUGCUUUUUAGGGAUGAGCAAAGAAAGUGGUUUCUCGAGAUGGAAUCUACUGGUGAAGUUGCUGUGAACAUUGUUAAAAUGCCAAUAAAGGAUUUAGGAAUUACAGAAACCUGGUUGAUAAAGCAGUGCCAGGGUGUGAGAGAGUUGACUUCAAUUUUGAAAUAAGUUCCACUGGCUGGGUGUGGUGGCUCACACCUGCAAUCCCAGUACUUUAGGAGGCCGAGACUGGUAGAUCAUUUGAGGUCAGGAGUUCAAGACCAGCCUUGCCAACAUGGUGAAACCCCACCUCUACCAAAUUAGCCAGGUUGCUCCUUGAGGGCAGGACAGUUCUUAUGGCUUUAUCCGUUGCGUAAGCACAGAGAGGUCUGCGAGGUCAAAACUAUUGUCAUGAUAGCAAGAUGCCUGUCUUUUUCAUUUAUUCUCACGGUGUGCAGAGGCUACAUGAUGUGUGAUGACAUCCUCAUUGAUGUUAAUGAAUGGUGCUAUACUUGAAUUUUCUAAGGUGUCAUUAGCAAUUCUCCUGCCUCAGCCUCCUGCAUAACUGGGACUACAGGGAAGCACCAUUUUCCACAAAACUCUCAAGAAGGACUUGUUGCAACUGGAAAAGCAAUUAAAUGUGAAUCGUGAUCCAGGAGAAAGUAACAACUCACAUAACUCCCAAAUUAAAAGUUUUCCAAAGAUAUAUCAUUUUUUUUCUCUUGGCCUUUUAAGAAACUAGCCAACAAAUACUCUUGACAGGUUUGUGUUUGGUUUUGAAAACACACACCUUAGUGUACUGAAAGAAAAACAAUUUCUUUUAAUUUGGUUUGUUGGUCCCACACCCCAUCUAUCAAUGUAUGUGCUAUUUACAAAUAAGUUCUAUACAGUAUUUUUGCAGUACCUUUGAUAAUUCCUAGACCUCUAUUUUCAUUCUGUGUAUUAAUGUGAAUAACAGAUGGAUAUUUUAAUAUUUAAGGCAGAUGGUAAACUUUCCUAUAGGUCUUGUGAGACUUCGUCUUAUAGGCUGAACACCAUUCACAAAAUGUAAUAAUGCUUCAUUCCUUCAGGUUGAGGUAAAGAACUUGAGCAACUGGAUUAGCAAAGCUGCAAAGAAUGAAAUGUGGCCUAAGAUGUAAUUAUGUUCUCUGCCCUUCCUUUGGGCCAGGGUAGUUUUGCACUUGACACAAUGGAAAAUAGGCCAUAAAGCCUGAAAAUAAAAUGUUCUAAACCCCAA
Molecule: long non-coding RNA, 2363 nt
Filed under: Homo sapiens (human)
Lineage: Eukaryota; Metazoa; Chordata; Mammalia; Primates; Hominidae
Description: HSALNT0050686
Source: RNAcentral